Non-coding RNA from Caerostris extrusa, 73 nucleotides. NCBI's taxonomy places the organism in Eukaryota, Metazoa, Arthropoda, Arachnida, Araneae, Araneidae. The record is from the annotation of a GenBank genome assembly.
UCACCGAAGUCAAGCAUCAUUGGGCGAGGUCAGUACUUGGGUGGGUGAUCACCUGGGAACACCGCGUGCCGUU